CUUGUUGGGUGAGGUAGUGGCUCACCAAGGCGACGACGGGUAGCCGGCCUGAGAGGGCGACCGGCCACACUGGGACUGAGACACGGCCCAGACUCCUACGGGAGGCAGCAGUGGGGAAUAUUGCACAAUGGGCGCAAGCCUGAUGCAGCGACGCCGCGUGAGGGAUGACGGCCUUCGGGUUGUAAACCUCUUUCAGCAGGGAAGAAGCGAAAGUGACGGUACCUGCAGAAGAAGCGCCGGCUAACUACGUGCCAGCAGCCGCGGUAAUACGUAGGGCGCAAGCGUUGUCCGGAAUUAUUGGGCGUAAAGAGCUCGUAGGCGGCUUGUCGCGUCGGUUGUGAAAGCCCGGGGCUUAACCCCGGGUCUGCAGUCGAUACGGGCAGGCUAGAGUUCGGUAGGGGAGAUCGGAAUUCCUGGUGUA
This 421-nucleotide ribosomal RNA is filed under the name Streptomyces sp. MSWC5. RNAcentral describes it as "bacterial SSU rRNA". It matches the Rfam family "Bacterial small subunit ribosomal RNA", at positions 245 to 677 of the family's 1533-position model. Lineage: Bacteria; Bacillati; Actinomycetota; Actinomycetes; Kitasatosporales; Streptomycetaceae. The record is from RNAcentral.